This 439-nucleotide ribosomal RNA is filed under the name uncultured bacterium. RNAcentral's name for it is "bacterial SSU rRNA". It matches the Rfam family "Bacterial small subunit ribosomal RNA", at positions 32 to 450 of the family's 1533-position model. The record is from RNAcentral.
AAUCAACGCUGGCGGCGUGCCUCAGACAUGCAAGUCGAACGCGAAAGUCCCCUUCGGGGGACAAGUAGAGUGGCGCACGGGUGAGUAACACGUAGGUAAUCUACCUUCGGAUGGGGAAUAACAAUCGGAAACGGUUGCUAAUACCGCAUAAUGCAGCGGCACCUAAUGGUGACAGUUGUUAAAGCGGGGGAUCGAAAGACCUCGCGUCUGAAGAGGAGCCUGCGGCGGAUUAGCUAGUUGGUAAGGUAAUGGCUUACCAAGGCGACGAUCCGUAACCGGCCUGAGAGGGCGGUCGGUCACACUGACACUGACAUACGGGUCAGACUCCUACGGGAGGCAGCAGUCGGGAAUUUUGGGCAAUGGGCGAAAGCCUGACCCAGCAACGCCGCGUGAAGGAUGAAAUCCCUCGGGAUGUAAACUUCGCAAGAACGGGAAGAAU